UUCAUGGAUGAGCCCGCGGCCUAUCAGCUUGUUGGGGGGGGAACGGCCCACCAAGGCGACGACGGGUAGCCGGCCUGAGAGGGCGACCGGCCACACUGGGAGUGAGACACGGCCCAGACUCCUACGGGAGGCAGCAGUGGGGAAUAUUGAACAAUGGGGGAAACCCUGAUGCAGCGACGCCGCGUGCGGGAUGAAGGCCGUCGGGUUGUAAACUUCCCCCAGCACGGACGAAUUCAACCAAUUCUUUCUCGGCGGCGCCGAGCCUACCCUUUAGGU
Molecule: ribosomal RNA, 276 nt
Filed under: uncultured actinomycete
Lineage: Bacteria; Bacillati; Actinomycetota; Actinomycetes; Actinomycetales
Description: partial 16S rRNA
Rfam family: Bacterial small subunit ribosomal RNA
Source: RNAcentral